RNAcentral lists this ribosomal RNA (95 nucleotides) under uncultured bacterium. Its description in RNAcentral is "partial 16S ribosomal RNA". It matches the Rfam family "Bacterial small subunit ribosomal RNA", at positions 1388 to 1482 of the family's 1533-position model. The record is from RNAcentral.
CACCGCCCGUCACGUCAUGGAAGUGGAUGGUACCAGAAGCGAGUAGUUGAACCGAAAGGGUGACGCUUGCCACGGUAUGAUUCAUGACUGGGACG